Molecule: ribosomal RNA, 391 nt
Filed under: Nutomonas limna
Lineage: Eukaryota; Ancyromonadida; Planomonadidae
Description: Ancyromonas limna partial small subunit ribosomal RNA
Rfam family: Eukaryotic small subunit ribosomal RNA
Source: RNAcentral
GCUUGUCUCAAAGAUUAAGCCAUGCAUGUCUAAGUAUAAACAAAUUUAUAGUGAAACUGCGAAUGGCUCAUUAUAUCAGUUAUAGUUUAUUUGGCGAUAAAAACUACUUGGAUAACCGUAGUAAUUCUAGAGCUAAUACAUGCAUCAUCCCCCAUCUCGGGGUGUAUUUAUUAGAUGGAAACCAAUGCGGGGCAACCCGGUUACUGGUGAUUCAUAAUAACCUAUCGGACCGAAUGGCCUUGCGCCGUCGGUGCAUCAUUCAAAUUUCUGCCCUAUCAAUUUGUUGGUAGUAUAUAGGACUACCAAGAUGAUUACGGGUAACGGAGAAUUAGGGUUUGAUUCCGGAGAGGGAGCCUGAGAAACGGCUACCACAUCUAAGGAAGGCAGCAGG